CCUCUAAACAAAGCAUUGCACUGCUAGAAUUAUUCUAGCUUAAAGGUCCAAACACAAAGUUUAUCUUCUGUUAAAUCUCCACGACAUUUUAACUAGGGCUAUGAAAUAAAUGGUCAACUAAAUCAAGCUGUAUUAAUUUCAGGCAUUAUUUUGAACCUAUUUUAUGGUGCUACAACCAUCUGACAGCAUUUAAGGGAGAGGCACAACAGCUGACAAAAGACCUAAGAAUUAGCUCUAUAAUUAUUUGCACAGGGAAAAUGGCUCCUUUCCACUUUCAGCCUACUGUGUAAGUCUUGAUACAUUUCAUCAGCCUCACGUAAUAAACCCUGUGGAGGAAUUAAGGAGCCAGGAAAUAUAGGUUAGGCUCACAAGACAGAUGCCAGCACUUAGUGCUGCUGAGGCCUCUGAGCGCUUCAGGCCACAGGCGCCCCUCCACCCGGGAGAAAGAAGAGGGUUUACAGUGCUCCACUGGGGAAAAGGGCUUUUGUCUUUGUUGAUGACCUAAACAUGCCUGCCAAGGAGAAAUAUGGUGCCCAGCCUCCCAUUGAACUGCUGCAGCAAUGGAUUGACCAUGGCUACUGGUUUGACAGGAAAACACUCCGAGUUACACGACUCCCUGUACAGAAAAAGGAAUAAAGGCUUAUACGUUGCAGUGAAUUACAGCAUGAGAAAGGCGAGUCUAUAUGGGAGAGAGGCACAACCUGCAUUUUCGUGUGUUUGCAAAAACACCAUCAGUAUUUAAGCCAACACAAAAUGGUUUCAGAUAAAUUUUUAGUUCUUGGUUGUUAAGGACUGAAACAAAAUAAUUUGUCUUUCAGUGAAUGACUGGAGUUACAAUGCAUCUGAAGAUGGCUUUUCUAGCAUGCAGCCAGUGUUUAGUGGAAGUGUGUGUAAUAGAUUCAUAGACUUUUCUGCAUGAUUUAUGUUAAUACAGGUUGUUGGAAGACUUCAGAUUCUCCCUUGUUUAUGUCUCAUCUGUCUGCAUUUUAAAGAAGAGCAAUGUUGUUGAAGAGCAACCCCAGUUAAUUCACAGCUUUAAAAAAAAAAGUGUAAAAUGGCACCUAGUCAUGGAGGCUCCAUUACAGUGCUUGAUCAUUAGAUGAAUGUAACCAUACUUUAUGAUACACUUAAUUAUAUACACCUAAGGUACAAAGCAGCUGCACUUCUACCAAAAGAAUGGGCCAUUAAUUAAGAACUAGUACUUCCUAUAUGCAUUAUUAUUAUUGCAGUUCACAAUUAUGCUUAAACCAGUCAUUACACAUUUUACCGUGUUGAAGAUCUUGUUUUCUAUAAUAUGUGUUUAACACUGUAUUACAACUUUGCAUGGCAGCCUCAGCCUGUUCCCUCUGUGCUUUUCAAAAGAGAGGCAUGAAAGUUGGCAGGUAGUGUCUGCAUUUCAAUUGGAACUCCUACCUUUCUCUUUACUCUUAACCAAAUAAAAUAAAGGCUUUAGCUUUUCUAUAGCA
This 1466-nucleotide long non-coding RNA is filed under the name Coturnix japonica (Japanese quail). RNAcentral describes it as "lncRNA (ENSCJPG00005005082.1)". Lineage: Eukaryota; Metazoa; Chordata; Aves; Galliformes; Phasianidae. The record is from RNAcentral.